This 524-nucleotide ribosomal RNA is filed under the name uncultured bacterium. RNAcentral's name for it is "partial 16S ribosomal RNA". It matches the Rfam family "Bacterial small subunit ribosomal RNA", at positions 28 to 523 of the family's 1533-position model. The record is from RNAcentral.
GACGAACGCUGGCGGCGUGCCUAAUACAUGCAAGUCGAACGCUUCUUUUUCCACCGGAGCUUGCUCCACCGGAAAAAGAGGAGUGGCGAACGGGUGAGUAACACGUGGGUAACCUGCCCAUCAGAAGGGGAUAACACUUGGAAACAGGUGCUAAUACCGUAUAACAAUCAAAACCGCAUGGUUUUGAUUUGAAAGGCGCUUUCGGGUGUCGCUGAUGGAUGGACCCGCGGUGCAUUAGCUAGUUGGUGAGGUAACGGCUCACCAAGGCCACGAUGCAUAGCCGACCUGAGAGGGUGAUCGGCCACAUUGGGACUGAGACACGGCCCAAACUCCUACGGGAGGCAGCAGUAGGGAAUCUUCGGCAAUGGACGAAAGUCUGACCGAGCAACGCCGCGUGAGUGAAGAAGGUUUUCGGAUCGUAAAACUCUGUUGCUAGAGAAGAACAAGGAUGAGAGUAACUGUUCAUCCCUUGACGGUAUCUAACCAGAAAGCCACGGCUAACUACGUGCCAGCAGCCGCAGUAA